CAGCCGCCACGGUAACACCGAGGGUGCGAGCGUUAAUCGGAUUUACUGGGCGUAAAGCGUGCGUAGGCGGCUUCUUAAGUCGGAUGUGAAAUCCCUGAGCUUAACUUAGGAAUUGCAUUCGAUACUGGGAAGCUAGAGUAUGGGAGAGGAUGGUAGAAUUCCAGGUGUAGCGGUGAAAUGCGUAGAGAUCUGGAGGAAUACCGAUGGCGAAGGCAGCCAUCUGGCCUAAUACUGACGCUGAGGUACGAAAGCAUGGGGAGCAAACAGGAUUAGAUACCCCGGUAGUCCCUGUCUCUUAUAC
This 301-nucleotide ribosomal RNA is filed under the name uncultured bacterium. Its description in RNAcentral is "partial 16S ribosomal RNA". It matches the Rfam family "Bacterial small subunit ribosomal RNA", at positions 509 to 807 of the family's 1533-position model. The record is from RNAcentral.